GACGAACGCUGGCGGCGUGCUUAACACAUGCAAGUCGAACGGAAAGGCCCCUCUGGGGGUACUCGAGUGGCGAACGGGCGAGUAACACGUGAGUAACCUGCCCUCGCCUUCGGGUUAACUUCAGGAAACUGGGGCUAAUACCGGCCAGGAAUCCUUGCUGCAUGGAUGGGGUUGGAAGGCUUCGGCGGUUUUGGAUGGACUCGCGGCUUAUCAGCUUGUUGGUGGGGUAGUGGCUUACCAAGGCUUUGACGGGUAGCCGGCCUGAGAGGGCGACCGGCCACAUUGGGACUGAGAUACGGCCCAGACUCCUACGGGAGGCAGCAGUGGGGAAUAUUGCACAAUGGGCGGAAGCCUGAUGCAGCAACGCCGCGUGCGGGAUGACGGCCUUCGGGUUGUAAACCGCUUUCAGCAGGGGCGAAGCUUUUGUGACGGUACCUGCAGAAGAAGCACCGGCUAACUACGUG
RNAcentral lists this ribosomal RNA (464 nucleotides) under uncultured bacterium. RNAcentral describes it as "partial 16S ribosomal RNA". It matches the Rfam family "Bacterial small subunit ribosomal RNA", at positions 28 to 507 of the family's 1533-position model. The record is from RNAcentral.